CUACAUAAUAAAAAUCUACUUUCCUUUCUCAGGUGGUGAAUUCUGACCUUGUUUGUUUCAAGGAGUAUGAUAAUAACAUUGUAAUGCAGGGUGAUGCACGAUUGAAAGUCUAUGUAGGAUGUCCACCUGGAAACAGACUUGCUUUUGAUAUUUCCUACACACUUCAGUACAGCACCGAGCGAAAUAACAUAUACUUUGACUGUAUCGAACCUAAUGUAGAAAUUCCAUGCUUCUAUUAUGAAAUCCGAAAGGAGAGGAAUGCUCGUGUAACUUGCGCCGAAAAACAUAUCCUCUUUUGAGAGGUUUGCUCGACUACUA
Molecule: long non-coding RNA, 318 nt
Organism: Rhincodon typus (whale shark)
Lineage: Eukaryota; Metazoa; Chordata; Chondrichthyes; Orectolobiformes; Rhincodontidae
Exons: 3
Source: RefSeq, a predicted model, not a curated record